GCAAGUCGCGCGAUCCUUCGGGAUAGCGGCGAACGGCUGCGUAAUACGUUGGAACCUGCCCUGGACUCAGGGAUAACCCGGGGAAACCCGGGCUAAUACCGGAUGGUCAUGUGCUUUGCACAUGUAAAGCUCCGGCGGUCCAGGAGGGGCCUGCGGCCUAUCAGCUUGUUGGUAAGGUAAUGGCUUACCAAGGCUAUGACGGGUAGCUGAUCUGAGAGGAUGAUC
This 225-nucleotide ribosomal RNA is filed under the name uncultured bacterium. RNAcentral's name for it is "partial 16S ribosomal RNA". It matches the Rfam family "Bacterial small subunit ribosomal RNA", at positions 57 to 305 of the family's 1533-position model. The record is from RNAcentral.